UACGUAGGGUGCAAGCGUUGUCCGGAAUUAUUGGGCGUAAAGCGUCCGCAGGUGGCACUUCAAGUCUGUCGUCAAAGACUGGGGCUUAACCCCGGAAAGGCGGUGGAAACUGAAGCGCUAGAGUGCGGUAGGGGUAGAGGGAAUUCCCGGUGUAGCGGUGAAAUGCGUAGAGAUCGGGAAGAACAUCGGUGGCGAAAGCGCUCUACUGGACCGCAACUGACACUCAGGGACGAAAGCUAGGGGAGCGAAUGGG
This 253-nucleotide ribosomal RNA is filed under the name uncultured bacterium. RNAcentral's name for it is "partial 16S ribosomal RNA". It matches the Rfam family "Bacterial small subunit ribosomal RNA", at positions 524 to 776 of the family's 1533-position model. The record is from RNAcentral.